This 798-nucleotide ribosomal RNA is filed under the name Triticum aestivum (bread wheat). Its description in RNAcentral is "partial small subunit ribosomal RNA". Lineage: Eukaryota; Viridiplantae; Streptophyta; Magnoliopsida; Poales; Poaceae. The record is from RNAcentral.
AUGCGGCCGCUCUCUCAACCCCGACGCGCCGCCGUCCUCCGCCUUCCCCUGCAUUCCGCUNNNNNNNNNNNNNNNNNNNNNNNNNNCACCCUCCGCCAUGGUGAAUCCACCUCCAGAUCGAGAAGGGGAGGCAGCAUACGUCGCAUCCACGCACCAGAUCGAGCAGCGGCGCUCCCAGAUCGAUCCAUCUCCAUCGUCCUCGCGGUUGACGCCCAUGUCCUCCUCAAGGAUGGCCGUCUCCGUGCUCCACCACCAUCCUUUCCCUCCUCCCUCACCGCAUCUCACAUGGCGCUGGGAUCUUCCAGAUCGAGCGCCGGCAGGGUAGGCGCCUCCGCCGCCCAAGUCCAAGACCCCGCCUCCGCCGCCGGCAGGGAUCUUCCAGACCAGCGCAAGGUCUUCCGCGUCACUAACCACGCCGGGGUCGCGCUCGCCGGCCUCACAGCCAUCUUCCUCCAUGAGCUGCAGCCCAUCCUCGCCAACCACCUGCAGACCCAGACCGCCACCACCGGCAACGCAUGCGUCGUGGCCUGCAGUGCCGCCGCUGCCAAGGACCACCUCUUCAAGGGGUCGCAGGAGCAGCCGGGCCUGGUCACCAUCACCAUGGAGGAGAUCCUCCGGUUCGUGGCGUCCGUCGGCGGCGCCGUCUGGGUGUCGUCGUACCAGGCUCAUGUCAAGUCAGUUGAGGAUUUCGCGCGGCUGGGCUGUUUCAAUGAGAACCAGGACAAGCAGCAGCCCGCCAAAGCUUCUUCCACCCAACACCAGCCCACUAAACUGACUAGUUUUUCAUGUCUUGUGUGA